Oncorhynchus tshawytscha (Chinook salmon) is the source of this 665-nucleotide long non-coding RNA. The record is from Ensembl. Lineage: Eukaryota; Metazoa; Chordata; Actinopteri; Salmoniformes; Salmonidae.
UUUCGCCUCCACCAGAUGACGACCGUGGACAGAUAACAGAUAGGUCGCCAGUUCGUCGCUUGUUGUCAGAAAUACCCCAUGCAUACACAUUUGUUUUGUGUGUUAAAAGUGUUUGGUUUAAAAAACGUGUUAAACCAAUGGUAUGGCCUCCGAGGACACCCAAGACCAACUGGAUGAGGCUAUUAAAAAGGCAGACCGGCUUUCUGAGGAGCUCAACCAAGAGAAGGACCCACAAACCCAACUGGACGAGGCCAUUAACGAGGCAAAAAGGCUGACUGAGGAGCUCAACCCAGAACGGGCAAUGUAACAAGUCGUACAUUACCGGUAAUGUAACCCCUAUAGCUCCCAUACGUGCAUAAAUAUUCUCAACACACCUCCAGCACCACAGCGUUAUGAUUUAUCAUUGAUUUUUGUUUGUCAAAGUAGACCCCACAUGGCACAAAUGUGAAUUUAAACGUAGCCUCCGUGAUAUGAACUGAACACGGGCAUCAAUGAUAUUGCCCAUUGAGCAUGAGGCACAAGGGUGCACAUGUUAGCUGUGUGAAUGAGCCAGAGCUUGGGUCUACUGCAGGUGCCUUUCCUCAGCUGACAAAUCACUUCACCUUAUGUGAAAAUAAAAUUCUUGCUUGUGCUCCAUAUGUGCACAAGCAAGCCAUGCAUAUUUA